GGGAGCCGCUCCCGGGCGGCACGACGCCGAGUCCCUCCUCCCCUCCCCGCAGGCAGCCUGUGCCUUUUCUCCAAACGAAGACAGCACUUUGAAAAUUCUUUCAAUGGAUUUUUUUUUCCUUGAAAGAUCGUACUGGGGGAAAAUGAUACUUCUAUUAGUUACAUAUUCUCCAAUCGCAUCCUCGCACCCCCCUCGUUUUGAGAUCGCUCCCCUAGGCAGGCUCAGGCGGGCGCGGAGCGGCGCGGAGUGACAAAGCCGCCGCUGCCGCCGCCGGGGGUGGGAACCGCUCUCGCCCGCCCGCCCCUCGACUCGCGAGGGCGUAAAAGUUUGUCUCAGCUCGAGCGUUCGUAGCGCCAACACGCCCUCAGGUAAAGGUGGAAGUAAAUGGCCACGCUGUAUUGACAGAGCAGGUAGAUGAAACUCAAGAGAAAAGUGUGGGUAAACGAAACUAGCCGAUGAUGAACCUGUUUUCUCCCUGACCACAAUAUGAACCAGGAUGAUGGCGGUGGCAGUGGGCCUGCAUCACAGGUUGCAGCAGAUGUUCUCAAUAUUUCUAUUAACAUUUCCUUAUUUCCAUAUGCAAGAGGAGCCCCAGAGCCUCAUCCCUGUGGUAGCUACCAUGCCGUGGUAGGUGAUGCUGUACUCUUCCACAUCAUCCUUCCGGUUCUAGCAGA
This 674-nucleotide long non-coding RNA is filed under the name Saimiri boliviensis boliviensis (Bolivian squirrel monkey). RNAcentral's name for it is "lncRNA (ENSSBOG00000036499.1)". Lineage: Eukaryota; Metazoa; Chordata; Mammalia; Primates; Cebidae. The record is from RNAcentral.